CCGGAGGAAGGCGAGCGGGUAGUCUUCCGCUCGCACUUCCUGCGCGGCCUCGGCUUGCCGGCGAGCGCUUUCUUCCACUCCUUCCUCGACUUCUAUCAACUCCAACCGCACCACCUCACUCCGAACACGGUGGUGCUGCUGUCCGCCUACGUCACCUUGUGCGAAGGCUUCCUUGGCGUUCUCCCCACCCUCGAGCUCUGGGGGAGUUCUUCCAAUCUAAGCUGGGCACCCGCAUGCAGGGCGUGCCGGCCCAGAGCGGCGCCUUCAUCGCGAUGCGGAGGCCGGCGGCCGACAACCCCUUCCCCGUCAUCACGUUAA
This 318-nucleotide ribosomal RNA is filed under the name Triticum aestivum (bread wheat). Its description in RNAcentral is "partial small subunit ribosomal RNA". Lineage: Eukaryota; Viridiplantae; Streptophyta; Magnoliopsida; Poales; Poaceae. The record is from RNAcentral.